This is a non-coding RNA of Paramuricea clavata, 444 nucleotides long. The record is from the annotation of a GenBank genome assembly. NCBI's taxonomy places the organism in Eukaryota, Metazoa, Cnidaria, Anthozoa, Malacalcyonacea, Plexauridae.
UAUUUACUCAGUAUUUUCAACUGUUUUGUUCUGUUAUCUCGCAAUAGAGGAACAAAUCAAGUCAAAUAUGGUAUUUUAAGCAAAAGCACAUGUUCAAGAAUGUUGGGGACCUCUUUUACAUUCAAAUGAACUCAAUCGUAAAGAAACGUGUCUAUAUUAUUUUUGUCGACGUUUCUGAGUGCGACUGAGAUGAAUCAUGAAUACAGUCGUGACAACACCUUUCAAAUGGGAAUUUCUGAUAGAGAUCGGUGAAUUAUACCAUAAGUUAACACAUGAGAAAUUGGUCAUGAACUUUAUUGUUUUGGAAAUGGUGAAUUUUAAUAUGGACAAGAUCAUAAUAUACUCAUAUCACCUCAUAUUUGUUUCUAUCAACGCAAACAAAUUAUGUCGCUUGUGAGAUUUGUUAAAGGAACAAAUGAUUCAGGAUGGUAGAAAAAAUAGCAG